UUAUUUGUUUAAGGCAAAUUCUUAUUUAAUUAUGUUAGUUAUGACAGACUCAUACCUAAGUGUUCAGAAUCAUAUAUUAUUAUAACUUCAGCUAUUAUUUAGUAAAUAUUAAAUUUCUAAAACAGAAC
RNAcentral lists this microRNA precursor (128 nucleotides) under Populus trichocarpa (black cottonwood). RNAcentral's name for it is "MIR480 microRNA precursor family". It matches the Rfam family "MIR480 microRNA precursor family". The record is from Rfam by way of RNAcentral. Lineage: Eukaryota; Viridiplantae; Streptophyta; Magnoliopsida; Malpighiales; Salicaceae.